ACUGUUUGGAGAAGUCGUGGAACCUUUAGGAGGUAAAGUGUAGCUGGAGGGAGCAGAUUGCGAGGCGGACCAGAUCUUGAGGUUUAUAAACUGGCUCUGCUCCAGUUCCCGAUCUUCCUGGGUGCAAGCGAGCAGCCUCAGGCUCCCAGGCUGUAACAGAGAGCCACCUUCAUCUGCUACAUGAAAUACUUUACCCAAGGCAAGUUAUAGAAAUAAUGGUUGGGGGGAGGGGUGAUGGUUGCAUAGGGCUGAAGUCCGAAGUGGCAGGGAAAGCCUGGCUGUAAGGAGCAGACAUGGUGGCUGUGAACAGAAGCUGAGGGUUCAGAUCUCAAACUACAAGCAGAAAGCGGAGAGAGUGAACUCCAAAUGCUGCCUGUAAACGCUCGGUGGCAGGCUUCCUCCAACAAGGCCACAGCCCAUUCAAAUGGCAUUGCUAACUGGGACCAACGACUUACAUGUCUGAGCCCAUGAGGGACAUCCUCAUCCAAACCACCACAGACCGUAUCUUCAAACUGGGAACCCGAUUGCUGGACCGACUCGGACCCCACCAGUGGUUUAAAUAACGACACGGAGACUUCCACUGUAGUUUAAAACUUAGACCUUUUGCUGGGGUGGUCUUCCGUCUACUGUUUAUACUUAACCCAAGUAGCCUGCAACCCACUACGUGACUAGCUCUGUAGCUCCCUGCUCCGCUCCGCUCUGUGUACAUUCCCUUUCACGUCUGCUUCUAAACCUCCUGCUUCUCUGGCCUCCCCUGCAUCGUGCUCCCUGACUGAAGUUCCGCCCUCAUACUUCCUGAGCAAGAUAUUGGCUGUCGGAUCUUUGUUACAACGAAUUAGCAGUGAGACAGCACCUGCUACUUCUCUUAGAUUGCCAUUAGGCAAGCGAGGAAGGGUGAGCAUUUACAAAAUAGAACACUUGGGCCACAGCACCAAAAUCCUGCCAGCACUCAGCUCUCUGUGGGUACAGAACCAACGAUUGAAAAUACAGAGAUACGCCUUAAUACAAUGUAAGGAAUUUCACCCCAACAGAGCCCAAAUAAUCCCUCUUCCCUUAAAUGCUUAUCGUGUUUUGUCACAGCAACAGAAAAGUAAAUGCAUUGGGUGGAUCUACUUAGAGCCUGUUUGGGAAAGAGAAGCAGAGGGACUCUGUUGGAACCUUUUUCUUACUAGACCUUCUGGGGCUCCAGGGCUAGAAGGGGAUGGAUAGGAUAGGGCGAAUGCCCUGCAGAGAGAUCACAGGAGCUUUGUAAAUUGUGGGGACCCAUGUAAAGACCCUCUCUGGAAGGCCAUAUGGGGCUUGAGAUUAGAGAAGGGGCUCUGUUGGCUUCUCAGAAUCAUUACUAAAAUAGAGUAAUAAUUCUCUUAAGGAUGUGAAAUUCAAAGCAAGGCACCUGUGGUAAUGAUAGCAGACACCAAUGGCUAACACUGAAUUGUUUGCUAUAUUCUGGGUGCCUGUCCUAGUUAUCUGUAACUAUUAACUGGAGCCUACAAUAUCUGAGAAGGGGGGGUCUUAGGACUUACGCAGAUCGUAUUGGCUGUGGGCAUGUCUGUAGGGGACUGUGUUAAGUAUUAAUUCAUGUGAAAGGGUUGAGUCCUCUGUGGGCAGCACCAUUCCCUGGGCUAUGUAAGAAAGCUAGCUAAGCAUGAGACUGGGAUGGAGAAAAUAAAAAGUGUUCCUCUAUGGUUUCUACUUCAGGUUCCUGCUUCAGUCCCUGCCCUGAUACCCUCAGUGAUAGACUAUGACCCAGGAACUGAAACUGAAGAGGGGACCCUUUCCCCUCUCUGCUGGCUAGUCUUGUGACAACUUGGCGCACAAGCUAGAGUCAUCUGAAAGAAGGGACUCUCAAUCGAGGAAAUGCCUCCAUAGGUUCAGUUGAAGGACUUUUUCUUAAUUAGUGAUUGAUGGGGGAGGGCUCAGUCCACUGUGGGUGGUGCCAUCCCUAUGCUGGUGCUUUCUGUCAGAAAGCAGGCUGAGCAAGCCACGGGGAGCAAUCCAGCAGGCAGCACCCCUCCAUGGCGUCUACAUCAGCUCCUGCCUCCAGGUUCCAGCCCCGCUGGGUUCCUGUCUUGACUUCUUUUAGAGGAUGAAGAGCGAUCUAUGGAAGCGUGAGUUAAAUAAACCCUUUCUUCCCCAACUUGCUCUUUGGUCAUGGUGUUUUAUCACAGCAAUAGCAACACUGACAAAGACAUCUCUAAGUUGCUUUGGUUCAGAGCGUUUUGUUACAGCAACAGUAACAUUUGAAAUCCUGACCCGCAUUGGCUCAGGUCUAAACAGCAGCUCUCAGAAGCAGGAUGCCUGUCCCCAUCCUUUCGAAGAGGAGGGAACUGGUAUCAAGUACACGUCGGGGCUGCCACAGAGGCUCACUGUAAGUUCAAUGCUGAAGUCCUGGGGGUGAAAAAAAUGUAUUGCCAGAGCCCAGUGUGCUAUAGGUAUGUGAUGCAGUUUUAUCGUCAGGUCGAUGCUGUACAGCCCAGGUUAGAGCUGAGCUGUGCCAGCUACAGAGCACGCAAGGCUCAUGAAAUAAUGGUGAGAAGUAGACGUACUGAAAUAACAAGGUGAGGUCUGUGAAGACACAGAGCCCUGUGGGAAAAGGCAAUGUUAAAGACCACCCAGGUGAAACAAAAGUUAAUUUUAGAUCAUUGGAACUCAAAGUCUGGUCUGUGCAUGGGCAGCCUUUGGGAGUUGGUUAAGAGAUGUAGGUUGCGGGAUGGCUUGAUUGGUGAAGCAAGAUGGUUUGAGAUCCCGAGUCUGAUCCUCAGAUCCACGUAAAACAGCUGGUUUGGUGGUGAUGCUUGUAAUUCCAACCCUGGAGAGGGAGGCAGACAGGUGGACCUCUGGCAUUUUCUAGCCAGCCUGCUGAAUCAGCAAGUUCCCUGAGAGACUGCUGUCCCCAGAGAAGGCGAACGGUGCCAGAGACGCCCAGUGCCACAUUUCAGAACGUUAGAGAUGGCGCCUCUCCAGAAUCCUUGAAUUGGGAUCUCCAUUUCCACAGGGUUCCAGUGAGCCCUGCGAAUUAAAGCCAGGCUAAGAUGCGAAUAGAAGCUCUGAAACAUUCCCUUCAGAUUCAACACUGUUCGCUACCUGGGAGUCAGUUAGUGUGUGUGAGUAGCACAGUGGGUGUCCGCCUGCUGCCACCAGAGUGCACAUGCCUGCUGCAGGACAGGUAGGGACGCCGACGGGGAAGGGAAGUGAAACCUUUUAUGAUCUAAUGACUCUGGGAGUCACCACCACCAACAAAAACAAUAGCAAAAGCCAGCAAUUUACUUGCUCGUCCCCUUAAAAAGCAUUAAAAUAUGCAAAGCGAGUGUGGCCAUCAGUCUCUCCCAGAGCAUCCAGGAUCUGGCUGUUUACAGAGGUGAAUUCCCAGGUGGUACUCACAGAAGCUCCAAAUUGGACAUCAGCAUAUUUAUGACCCCUUUGGUAUCUUCCUCGGGACUGGGAAGGACCUGGGGGCCCCCUCUCCAGCUGUCCUGGUAGUUGCUUAAUCUAGUUGGCAAUCAGCACACAAAGCAGACAGGGGAAUCACUCUGCUAGCAAGCCCCCUGCCCUCCCGUCUGGAGAAGAAUGCGGGCUGACAGGGACACAAUUAAAAGGGGAUUGAUUUAUUGAGCUGGAAUGCCCUGACAGCCCCCAACCCUCCUAAUCUCAGCAUCUCUCUGCCUCGUGCAAUCACCAUUUCCAAACAAGAGUCAGCCUACAGGAUCGUCAGGCAGCCAAAGACAUUCCUCCUUCACUGAAGGUAGCUUCGCCCCAGGAGCCCAUAAAGCAAAAACCACAUAAAAGAAGUCCUGUCCUGCAUGAGGGCCUGGAUAAGGAUCUGGAAUUCAGCAGGGAGGGACAUCUAAACCCAGAGAGCAGGCAGCGGUAAUGGAAACCUGCUAACCUUGGCUUAGAGGAGUUGGGGGUGGGAGACGAAGGGGUUAAGAAGAAGUCGUGGGCAGAGAGCCCUCCUUCUGUCUUUUAUGUGAUGAAACUGUAAAUUUCUGUUCGAAAUCAAGGCUUUGGAAUGUUGGUGAGGGGGUGUGGGUGGUGAUGGGGGAGGGGGGCUGGUGGAAUUCCAGGGGAGAAAGAAGUCCCUGGAUUUGAAAUUAGUUCUCCCUUUGAACUGUUUCAUCAAACCCAGGAGCUAGAGGUCUCACGCCCGAACACAAGUGGAAUCAUUUCUAAUUGUUGGGCUUUGAGGGGGCUGGCCACUUCUCUUCCUAUCAGAAACCCUAGCCUUUGCUACUGGGAUGCUGGGAAUCUCAGUGAUGCUGGGAAUAAUGGCUGCCCUUUGUGGCUGCUGGAUUUCUUGGUCCAUAGCUCCCAACCUUGUAAGAUGACUGAGCUCACUUUCAGCCAGGAGAGGUCCAGGGAGAGUUGCUGUGAGGAAGGGCAAAGACAAAGGCCUUGUGGGCAAACUGGCUGCACCCAAGGGAAACAGAAAGACACUGAGAUGCGGGUACAUUUCCUCUCCAAACUUACCAGAAUAAAGUGGUCACUUCCUGUCCAGGGGUACACUGGACUGAGUGAGGGGCAUAGAAAAAGUGGAAAUGAACUGGGACCUCUCCCACACAGAAAGAGCCAUGAUUUAGGACGAAGGACUGUUCUUGAAAUUAGGGACAACUAAAACUUAGUAGUAAUGAUACAGAAUGAGAAAAAAAUUAAAAAAAAAAUGAGAUGAGUGCUCUUAGGUAUGAUGGAGAAGGCUUAUUGAAGGUGUGAGGAAAGCAAAGGCAGGGGAAACACAGAGGCAGAGACAGGGGCAGAGACAUCUAGAAGAGUCCAGAGUGAGCUGGGAUGAGUGAGUGGUGGGGGAUUGGAGAAAUCAGACAGUCACAGCCAAGUGGCUGGGUUACAUAGGGAGAGCCACAGGGGAAGGAGCAGCCCAGUUCCUAGGCUGAAUGUUUAGGGGAGAGGGGAGGGUAAGGAUGGGUACUGAGGGAUGCUGGGAGAACCUGGUGGCUAGGUCCACUUUGAUAUGUUAAAGAGGCAUCUCAUUUAGCCAUUUGUCUGGGAUUUGAGACCUAGCAGAGACUAAUAAUGAGGUCAGAGGUCACAAUUCCCUCAGUAUUACUCUGUUUUUAUUCUGGGACAGGAUUCCAUACCUCAUUAUUCUUUACAACUCAGGAAGAUCAUUUUUGUUGUUAUAUCUUUGCAGCAAAUGAGAAAACUGAGACAGAGAGGUUGUGUUACUUACCCAAGCACACACAGCUAGGAAGUGGUAGAGCAACUGUGCAAACUGAGCCUUGAUUCACCCUGAGGCCUGAAUUCUGCAGCAGACCCUUGAACCUAUGCAGUAUGGAAAUGAAUGAAUGAGGUAAGGGGGAAGUUAGUGUCUAGCAUGGCGAAACAUGGCUUUGAUAGUCACCUCAUCUGACUUUCCCUUUGAGGGCUGACCCUGAAAACUGCGUGUGUGUGUGUGUGUGUGUGUGUGUGUGUGUGUGUGUGUGUGUGUGUGGUGUGUGGUGUGUGUGGUGUGUAUAUUAUGUGUGUGUGUGGUAUGUGUAUAUUUGUGGUAUAUGUGUGUGGUGUGUAUGCUAUAUGUGUGAGUAUGGUGUGUGUGUGGGGUAUGUGUGUGUAUAUGGUGUGUGAGUGUGGUAUGUGUGUGUAUAUGGUGUGUGUGUGUGGUAUGUGUGUGUAUAUGGUGUGUGUGUAUAUGGUGUGUGUGUGGUAUAUGUGUGUGUAUAUGGUGUGUGUGUUGUGUGUGUGUAUGUGUGUGUGUGGUAUCUGUGUAUGUGUGGUGUAUAUAUGGUGUGUAUGGUGUGUGUGUGUGUGUGUGUGUGUGUGUGUGUGUGUGUGUGUGUGUGUAUGCAAACAGGUAUGGAGGCCAGAGGUCAAUCUGGGGUGCUGUUCAUCAAAAACCAUCUGUCUUGUUUGCUGAGACGGGGUAAUCUGGCUGUUCGUAAGCCUCAGUGGGGUUGUAACUGUGUUUUGUAUGUGCUUCUGGGGAUCAGUCUCAGUUUGCAUGAUACACACUUUGUCAAUUGACAUGUUUCCUGGUCCUGAGGUCUUGUCGCUAGAAUGUUCUACCUUGCUGGGCUAGGUCGUGACCCUGGGCUGAUCUCACCAUUGCACAUCAGGAUGUGUCAGAACAAGAAAGAGUGUCAGGCACCUGCUUGUCCAAGGAGCCACAGCUGAUUUUUUUUAUGGUCUGAGCCUGCAGUCUAGGUUUCUCCUAGGCCUAGAGGUUCUGGCUUGUCUAAGUCAAGAGACUGGGGGGUUCUGACCCCUCCCUUCCCCCAUCCAGGAAGAGCUGGACUCACUGUUGAAGAAGACAGUGACUGCCUAUGGGAUCUCCCGUUUCUGGUGGGAGAGUGUUUGUGCAGAGUCCUGGCCUCUUGGGCAUCUGAGUACCUCGUGCCUCACCAACCCUUCAUAGCAUUGAAAGUGUCAUGAGACACAACCCUGAGACCUCCCUUGUUCUCUAUGUCGUGUCCGUUGUUUGAAGCAACCUGAAUAUGGUGAUGGGGGUGGACCCUGCAGGAGACCUCCCUUCUCUAACCUCCUGCUUCACAGUGGUCCCCAGACCUCCGUGCCUCCCUCAUCCGGCCCCAUCUGUACACACCCCAAUCCCAAUCUGAUUUACCGCUCCUGAUUUCUGCUACUCCUGCCCCUCCCCCGUUUCCUUUCUCUUCCUCGGGCCCCCUUCCUUCACAUGUGGGCCUUCCUUCACCCCAGCUUUCUUCACAAAGCUGCAUUUAUUUUUCCUCUUUAUUUGACCCCACGUGACCUGGUUGGAUGCCGGAAGCAGCAUCUGGGGAAGGGGAACACAGGCUGCUUUUCUACAGAUAUUUUUUCUUUUUCCUUUGGCUGAGGCAGUUUCAACCAGUUUAUAAAGUUUAGUUGAAAGGUUAUACAUUUCCCACUUUAAACAUUUCUCAAUCCCCGUGAAUGAAAAUUUCCUGUCACCCACUCCCUUCGUUGGGUCCACAGCCCAUAGAAGGCUUCCAGAGAGAUGCCUGAUGAGGAGCGCCGCCUGCCCCAGAGCCUUCAUAGAGAAUGGAGAGUAUGCCCUGCUGUCCUUUUGUUGGCUUCUCUUUCGGAGAAGUGAAGUCAGGAUGCUUCUCAUGGUGCUUCAUGUGAGGAUGAGACCAAGGCAGUAUCUGUGAACGGGCUACAUGGACGAAAUCCUAUCAGGGUGAGGUCUGGAUGGAGUGAACACUACGGAAUAAAGGGGGGAGGGCAGAGUGAACUUGAGCUAUUAGCUGAGACCCGAAAUUUAAACUGGGCUGGGAAUCUCAGUAGAUCUUGGCUUGGUCACAUGGAGAGGCCCCUGUUUUGUUUUUGUUUCUUUAUCUGUUUAUAUACGUACGUGUGUGUGUGUGUGUGUUUGUGUGUGUGUACAUGUGUGUGUACGUGUGUCUGUGCUCUGUGUGUGUGUGCUGUGUGUGUGUGCUGUGUGUGUAUGUGUAUGUAUAUGUGUGUAUGUGUGUGUGUGGUGUGUGUAUGUGUGCUGUGUGUGUGCUCUGUGUGUGUGUAUGUGUUUAUGUGUGCUGUGUGUGUGUGUGGUGUGUGUGUGUGUACGUGUAUGUGUGCUCUGUGUGUGUGUGCUGUGUGUGUAUGUGUGUGUGUAUAUGUGUGUGUGUAUGUGUGUGUGUGUGCUCUGUGUGUGUGUAUGUGUGUAUGUGUGCUGUGUGCUCUGUGUGUGUGUGUGCUGUGUGUGUAUGUGUGUGUAUAUGUGUGUGUAUGUGUGUGUGUGUGCUCUGUGUGUGUGUAUGUGUGUAUGUGUGCUGUGUGCUCUGUGUGUGUGUGCUGUGUGUGUAUGUGUGUGUAUGUGUGUGUGUGGUGUGUGUGUGUGGUGUGUGUGUGUAUGUGUGUGUGUGGUGUGUGUAUGUGUGCUGUGUGCUGUGUGUGUGUGCUCUGUGUGUGUGUAUGUGUGCUGUGUGUGUGUGUGUGGUGUGUGUGUGUGGUGUGUGUAUGUGUGCUGUGUGCUGUGUGGUGUGUAUGUGUGCUGUGUGCUCUGUGUGUGUGUGCUGUGUGUGUGGUGUGUGUAUACUUCAUGCCUGUGUACUUAGUAUACCUUUAGUGGUUCCUCAGGUACCAUCCACCUUGCUGGAUUUUGAGACAGCGUCUCUCCCUGGCCUAGAGUCAUUAAGUAGCCUGGACUGCCUGUCCAGCAAGCUCCCGGGUCUCCCCUUCUCUACUUUCCUACUUUCCUAGUGCUUACAAAUGUAUGCUAUCAUGUUUGGCUUAUAUCUUUAUUUUUUUAUUUUCAGAGUGGGUUCUGGGGAUUCAAAUCAGCUCCUCGCACUUGUAAAGCAAAUACUUAACAGGUUGAGUCAUCUCCCCACGUCUCCACACCAAGAUCCAUUUUUUAAGCCUGUCUAAGGCUGUCUGGAGUGGAGCCCCACACAGACCCCAUACUCCAGCCAUGCUCAGACUGCCUGCUUAGGACUCACAGUGGCUGCUUCUCUGGCUGUUUGAUUCUGCGCAUUACAGUCCUUUGGCUUUGAAGACUGUAUGCCACGCCAACCUCUUCAGCUGACCCCUGCAAUCUGAGUCCAUCCUGUUUCAAAGUGGGCUCCAACACAGUGCCUGGAAACCGGAUCUAAAGUAGACUUCCCUGUCACACUGGUCAAAGGAUUUGCCCCAGCAGUGCCCCAACCCGUAUCUCUGCUCUCAUCCCUUCAAUGUGAGGUAAGAUCACACACACUGAGAAAAGCAAGAGAGAUGGUCCUGCCACCAGCUGGAUACUGGGCUGGGAUGGAUAGAUGACCUGCUGAGGUAUGCUGGGGAAGUUGAGAGGCAUGGGCUUGUGUCUAUUGACAGCACCAAGAUGGGAAGAAUACAGAAAUGGGAUGGGCGGGUGAAGAAGGAAGACAGACAACUUUGUCUGAAUGGAGUUGGUCUCAAGGUUCCGGAAAGACACAGGGGCUAGAGGUAGUGUUAUAGAGCUUGUACGUAAAGAAAGUAGGGGAAGGCAGAGAAGACUGCUGCUGUUCUUCCUGACCUGCUAUGGUUUUGGCUGUGAAAUCCUUCCCUCCCCCCAGUAUGUGUUCCCCAGCCACAGAUUCUGUUUUGGUAGGGGUUAUUGACCCGUCGUGUCAUGAAGACCAUAACCCAGCUCUGCUUCUGGUCUGGGCUUUGCUGCUUCCUGAUCCUUCCAAGCAACUACAAACGCCCGCUGUCAUGGAGCCCUGCUAGGAUGAACUGAAUCCUCCGAGCUGUGAACCAAUCGAAGACCUUCCUCCCUUAAGUAGCUUCUGUCAGAUACCUGGUCAUUGUGAUAGAAAUAGUCCAGAUGCUUAGUGGCAGACCUAUGUCACCCAUCAUGUAUAUCUCUCCUGCCUGGGUUGGAGACCAGUAGUUGAGAAGGGAUUCAAAGCAGAUGUACUAGGGGGAGGGGAGUUAAAAAGGAAGAGAUACAGUCUUCCCAAAUAUGUAGGCUUCCCCUAGCAGCCUCACUACUUCAUCUUGCCUUUUGGAUAUCAAAUCCUUUAGUCCCUUUCUCAUUAUAAAGUAUUGACCUUUGUUUCCUCAGUUUCUCUCCUACCUUCCUACACAACCCAACUUCUUUUGGGAUUCACUUAACCAAUGUUUAAGAGCCAAGAGCCUGUCUAGACAUUUCAGAAUGAUUCCCUUUGUUGGUUGUUAGUAGGGUGAGACACACAGUAAAACGUGAACGCAUUAGUGGGACAGAUUCAGCGAGUCCCGCCUACCCUGACAAGGGCUGGCAGACAUCCUACACUACACUCUGCUAGCUCUGUGGAUCCUGGUUCAGUAGCUCACCCUUUACCGAUAUCCACACACCUUUCGACUCCUGGACAGAGUGAUUGUGCUUGAGAUUUUUGGCUUGGCACCAAACACAGAUUUCAAGUCUUUUGACUUUGGACUUUGCCUGGUACAGGUUUCCACAUGCAGUCAACCAGAGGCGUUGCUUGUUGGUGUGUGAGACCCAGUGAAUCUUGACCUGAUAGCCUUGUUUCCCUUCUGUGCAGAUAAGAAGGUAUGAGGACUACAUAAAUGGAGAUGUGAGGCUAGGACGACACACCCUGUCCUCCACAGCAGGAGAGAGAUGGGUAGAAAAUUCAUUUAGUGUGAAGGAAUGAUGGGUUUGAGGGGACCCCCCCAAAAUAAAACAAGACCCAAAGCAA
Molecule: non-coding RNA, 10079 nt
Organism: Rattus norvegicus (Norway rat)
Lineage: Eukaryota; Metazoa; Chordata; Mammalia; Rodentia; Muridae
Source: RefSeq, a predicted model, not a curated record